This 418-nucleotide ribosomal RNA is filed under the name Acinetobacter sp. Its description in RNAcentral is "bacterial SSU rRNA". It matches the Rfam family "Bacterial small subunit ribosomal RNA", at positions 386 to 794 of the family's 1533-position model. The record is from RNAcentral. Lineage: Bacteria; Pseudomonadati; Pseudomonadota; Gammaproteobacteria; Moraxellales; Moraxellaceae.
ACCGCCCAUGGCCGCGUGUGUGAAGAAGGCCUUAUGGUUGUAAAGCACUUUAAGCGAGGAGGAGGCUACUUUAGUUAAUACCUAGAGAUAGUGGACGUUACUCGCAGAAUAAGCACCGGCUAACUCUGUGCCAGCAGCCGCGGUAAUACAGAGGGUGCAAGCGUUAAUCGGAUUUACUGGGCGUAAAGCGCGCGUAGGCGGCUAAUUAAGUCAAAUGUGAAAUCCCCGAGCUUAACUUGGGAAUUGCAUUCGAUACUGGUUAGCUAGAGUGUGGGAGAGGAUGGUAGAAUUCCAGGUGUAGCGGUGAAAUGCGUAGAGAUCUGGAGGAAUACCGAUGGCGAAGGCAGCCAUCUGGCCUAACACUGACGCUGAGGUGCGAAAGCAUGGGGAGCAAACAGGAUUAGAUACCCCCGGUAGA